AAUCAACGCUGGCGGCGUGCCUAACACAUGCAAGUCGAGCGCGAAAGGGGAGCAAUCCCCAAGUAGAGCGGCGAACGGGUGAGUAACGCGUGGGUAAUCUGCCUCCGAGUGGGGAACAACACCGGGAAACUGGUGCUAAUACCGCAUGACAUCGUUGGACCUUCGGAUCUGACGAUACAAAGGCCGGGGACCGCAAGGCCUGGCGCUUGGAGAGGAGCCCGCGUCCGAUUAGCAGUUGGUGGGGUAAUGGCCCACCAAGGCUACGAUCGGUAGCCGGCCUGAGAGGGCGGACGGCCGCACUGGGACUGAGACACGGCCCAGACUCCUACGGGGAGGCAGCAGUGGGGUAAUUUUUCGCAAUGGGCGAAAGCCUGACGAAGCAACGCCGCGUGGAGGAUGAAGGCC
Molecule: ribosomal RNA, 405 nt
Filed under: uncultured bacterium
Lineage: Bacteria
Description: bacterial SSU rRNA
Rfam family: Bacterial small subunit ribosomal RNA
Source: RNAcentral